Molecule: ribosomal RNA, 255 nt
Filed under: uncultured bacterium
Lineage: Bacteria
Description: partial 16S ribosomal RNA
Rfam family: Bacterial small subunit ribosomal RNA
Source: RNAcentral
UACGAAGGGGGCUAGCGUUGUUCGGAAUCACUGGGCGUAAAGGGCGCGUAGGCGGCCGAUCAAGUCGGGGGUGAAAGCCUGUGGCUCAACCACAGAAUUGCCUUCGAUACUGUUUGGCUUGAGACCGGAAGAGGUUAGUGGAACUGCGAGUGUAGAGGUGAAAUUCGUAGAUAUUCGCAAGAACACCAGUGGCGGAAGGCGGCUGACUGGUCCGGUUCUGACGCUGAGGCGGCGAAAGCGUGGGGAGCAAACAGG